RNAcentral lists this ribosomal RNA (383 nucleotides) under uncultured eukaryote. RNAcentral's name for it is "partial 18S ribosomal RNA". It matches the Rfam family "Eukaryotic small subunit ribosomal RNA", at positions 592 to 976 of the family's 1831-position model. The record is from RNAcentral.
CAAUAGCGUAUAUUAAAGUUGUUGCAGUUAAAAAGCUCGUAGUUGGAUUUCUGGUGGGAGCGAUCGGUCUGGCGCUUAGCGCGAGUACUUGCAUCGUCUCCGGCCAUCCUCGGGGAGAGUCUGUCUGGCAUUAGGUUGUCGGGCAGAGGAUCCUCAUCGUUUACUGUGAAAAAAUUAGAGUGUUCAAAGCAGGCUUAUGCCGUUGAAUAUAUUAGCAUGGAAUAAUAAGAUAGGACUUUGGUACUAUUUUGUUGGUUUGCGCACCAAAGUAAUGAUUAAUAGGGACGGUUGGGGGUAUUCGUAUUCCGUUGUCAGAGGUGAAAUUCUUGGAUUUACGGAAGACGAACUACUGCGAAAGCAUUUACCAAGGAUGUUUUCAUUAA